RNAcentral lists this long non-coding RNA (246 nucleotides) under Nicotiana benthamiana. Its description in RNAcentral is "long non-coding RNA (NBEN_LNC021711)". Lineage: Eukaryota; Viridiplantae; Streptophyta; Magnoliopsida; Solanales; Solanaceae. The record is from RNAcentral.
CAACUUCAUCCAUGCAAUUUCACUAUUAAGAAAUUAAAGCCUAACAAUGUUUAAAAGCUUUGAUAAGUUUUUCUCAGAAGAUAAACCAAACACUAAUUUUUCAAAGACAAACCUAAAUAGUAAUAAAAGGGCUCUCCUAACAUCAAAAGAAAAACCAAUCUGUUAAAGGGUCCUCUGAUAUGGUCGAACAACCCAUAGAAAAAUUAUGAACAUUGUACAAACAAGGUGCUAUUCACAGCAAAAUAA